CCUACGGGAGGCAGCAGUGGGGAAUUUUGGACAAUGGACGCAAGUCUGAUCCAGCCAUUCCGCGUGCAGGACGAAGGCCUUCGGGUUGUAAACUGCUUUUGUACAGAACGAAAAGGUUUCUCUUAAUACGAGGGGCUCAUGACGGUACUGUAAGAAUAAGCACCGGCUAACUACGUGCCAGCAGCCGCGGUAAUACGUAGGGUGCAAGCGUUAAUCGGAAUUACUGGGCGUAAAGCGUGCGCAGGCGGUUAUAUAAGACAGAUGUGAAAUCCCCGGGCUCAACCUGGGAACUGCAUUUGUGACUGUAUAGCUGGAGUACGGUAGAGGGGGAUGGAAUUCCGCGUGUAGCAGUGAAAUGCGUAGAUAUGCGGAGGAACACCGAUGGCGAAGGCAAUCCCCUGGACCUGUACUGACGCUCAUGCACGAAAGCGUGGGGAGCAAACAGGAUUAGAUACCCUGGUAGUCCACGCCCUAAACGAUGUCAACUGGUUGUUGGGUCUUCACUGACUCAGUAACGAAGCUAACGCGUGAAGUUGACCGCCUGGGGAGUACGGCCGCAAGGUUGAAACUUAAAGGAAUUGACGGCUGAGAGNGCGAGACGACGACGAGGGAGGAGG
Molecule: ribosomal RNA, 617 nt
Filed under: uncultured bacterium
Lineage: Bacteria
Description: bacterial SSU rRNA
Rfam family: Bacterial small subunit ribosomal RNA
Source: RNAcentral